Molecule: transfer RNA, 72 nt
Filed under: Limosilactobacillus reuteri
Lineage: Bacteria; Bacillati; Bacillota; Bacilli; Lactobacillales; Lactobacillaceae
Description: Lactobacillus reuteri tRNA-Gln
Source: RNAcentral
UUGGCUAUAGCAAAGCGGUAAGGCACCGGUUUUUGGUACCGUCAUGCGUCGGUUCGAAGCAAGCUAGCCCAA